GGAUUAGUUAUAUAUAUGCACAGAAACAUUAGUAUUUCUGUGCUUAUGACAUAUUGUUUCAAUACAUGUACAUUGCACCAAGUUUUGUUAGAGAUGCUUUUCUGCAGUGUAUGCAUAUCCAAAUUCAUAUACAUAUAAAUUUAUGUGUAUCUAUGAAUAUUCAUACCAUAUCAAUGCAAUUUUUCCCCCAGGAUUGAAGACACUGUCAAUG
RNAcentral lists this unclassified non-coding RNA (211 nucleotides) under Hevea brasiliensis (rubber tree). Lineage: Eukaryota; Viridiplantae; Streptophyta; Magnoliopsida; Malpighiales; Euphorbiaceae. The record is from RNAcentral.